RNAcentral lists this unclassified non-coding RNA (255 nucleotides) under uncultured Patescibacteria group bacterium. RNAcentral's name for it is "contains 16S-23S intergenic spacer region". It matches the Rfam family "Bacterial small subunit ribosomal RNA", at positions 524 to 776 of the family's 1533-position model. The record is from RNAcentral.
UACGUAGGAUCCGAGCGUUAUCCGGAGUGACUGGGCGUAAAGAGUUGCGUAGGCGGUUAGUAAAGCGAAUAGUGAAACCUGGUGGCUCAACCACACAGACUAUUAUUCGAACUCACUAACUCGAGAGUAGCAGAGGUAACUGGAAUUUCUAGUGUAGGAGUGAAAUCCGUAGAUAUUAGAAGGAACACCAAUGGCGUAGGCAGGUUACUGGGCUAUUUCUGACGCUGAGGCACGAAAGCGUGGGGAGCGAACCGG